Molecule: long non-coding RNA, 838 nt
Organism: Aphidius gifuensis
Lineage: Eukaryota; Metazoa; Arthropoda; Insecta; Hymenoptera; Braconidae
Exons: 3
Source: RefSeq, a predicted model, not a curated record
UACAUUCUGUCAAAAAGGUCACAUGUUUUAAAUUUGACAGAAUGUAAACAACAAUGGCGGCCAAAACAAGCUGCGCGUCAUGAAGUUUCAUGCUGCGCGUCAAGAAGCUGGACACUUUGCGUCAAGAAGUUGGGUGCUUUGCGUCAAGAAGUCGGCUGCUUUGCGUCAAGACGCUUGGUGUCGCGCGUCAUGAAGCUGUGAGUGAAAACCGACCCUAUGGCUGAAUGCACCUGUGACAUGUAUUUUUACGUAUAUACAUAUAUAUGUAUAUAUAAAUGCAUAUGUAACUUACAUUACCACCAAAAACUGGCGAAAAAACUGUUGACAUGUCUUCAACAAAAAAAAAAAAGAGUUUUCAGUUAUCAAAAAAAAUGGGAAAAAUAUGACUGGGCUAAAGGAUGGAUUACAUCAAUUGUGAAUGCUCCAGAAGAAUAUCAUAAAUUAUACUAUACUCAUCAAAAUGAAGCAUGGUGGAAAGCUUAAUGCAAAAUAUCUUUGCGUGCUCAUUGCACUGACUUCAGCAUGUCGUGUGCAUGGAGAAAAUAUUUUAGCAUGAACAUUAUCAAAGAAAAACACAAUUAUGAAUUUUGUUGCUCCAACAGUCACUGAUGAGAUGAAAAAGCUUGACAUAAAGUUGUCAGUAUUUACAGCUAACCAUAUGUCAAUGUCUGCAAUUGAUGAUCUCAGUGAAAUACUUAAAUUACAUGGUAAAGAUACUGUAUUUGAAAGUUUAGGUUUACACCAUACAAAAUGUUCAAGUAUAGUUUGAUAAUUGGUGAGCAAUACAUAAGCCAAAAAUUAUUUCAAUAAAAAUACAUUAUAUAUUUUAUUUUUAAGC